AUGGGAGUGACUUUCUACACCGAAACAUGUGGGGGUGUGGGCUUUCGCGAUAUGGCGAUCUUUAACUAAGCUUUGCUCGGGAAACAAUGCUAGAGACUAUUGACUAAACCUAAUUCAUUGUGUGCCCAAGUGUUGAAGGGACGCUACUUCCCUUAUGGGGAUUUCUGGAAUGCGCAAUGUCUAAGAUCAUCUUCUUAUACAUGGCGCAGUAUGAUGCAUGGCAAGGAACUACUGUAG
Molecule: ribosomal RNA, 237 nt
Filed under: Triticum aestivum (bread wheat)
Lineage: Eukaryota; Viridiplantae; Streptophyta; Magnoliopsida; Poales; Poaceae
Description: partial small subunit ribosomal RNA
Source: RNAcentral